UACGUAGGGGGCUAGCGUUAUCCGGAAUUACUGGGCGUAAAGGGUGCGUAGGUGGUUUCUUAAGUCAGAGGUGAAAGGCUACGGCUCAACCGUAGUAAGCCUUUGAAACUGGGAAACUUGAGUGCAGGAGAGGAGAGUGGAAUUCCUAGUGUAGCGGUAAAGUGCGUAGAUAUUAGGAGGAACACCAGUGGCGAAGGCGACUAUCUGGACAGUAACUGACGCUGAGGCGCGAAAGCGUGGGGAGCAAACAGGAUUAGAUACCCUGGUAGUCCCUGAGCGGG
Molecule: ribosomal RNA, 281 nt
Filed under: uncultured prokaryote
Description: partial 16S ribosomal RNA
Rfam family: Bacterial small subunit ribosomal RNA
Source: RNAcentral